Molecule: ribosomal RNA, 221 nt
Filed under: uncultured bacterium
Lineage: Bacteria
Description: partial 16S ribosomal RNA
Rfam family: Bacterial small subunit ribosomal RNA
Source: RNAcentral
GACAGAGGCCUCAAGCGUUAGGCGGAAUCACUGGGCUUAAAGCGUGUGUAGGCGGAUCGUUAAGUGUCUUGUGAAAUCCCACGGCUCACCCGUGGAACUGCUGGGCAUACUGGCGAUCUUGGGCCAACUAGGGGCAACUGGAACAAGCGGUGGAGCGGUGAAAUGCGUAGAUAAUCGGUCUUGGAACGCCAAAGGUGAAAACAGGUUGCUGGGGUUGUGCC